Molecule: long non-coding RNA, 751 nt
Filed under: Monodelphis domestica (gray short-tailed opossum)
Lineage: Eukaryota; Metazoa; Chordata; Mammalia; Didelphimorphia; Didelphidae
Description: lncRNA (ENSMODG00000029413.2)
Source: RNAcentral
AAAUCCAAUUUUAGGUCACAGGAAAGGAAAGGGAGAAGGAAGGAAAGAAGAAGGGAGGGAGAAGGGAAGAGGAGGGUAGAAGAGAGAAAAGAAGGAAAAGGAAAAGGAAGGAAGGAAGGAAGAAAGAAAGAAAGAAAGAAAGAAAGAAAGAAAGAAAGAAAGAAAGAAAGAAAGAAAGAAAGAAAGAAAGAAAGAAAGAAAGAAAGAAAGAAAGAAAGAAAGAAAGAAAGAAAGAAAGAAAGAAAGAAAGAAAGAAAGAGAGAAAGAAAGAGAGAAAGAAAGAGAGAAAGAAAGACAGAGAGAAAGAAAGAGAGAAAGAGAGAGAGAGAGAGAGAGAGAGAGAGAGAGAGAGAGAGAGAGAGAGAGAGAGAGAGAGAGAGAAAGAGAGGAAGGAAUGAAGGAAGGAAGGAAGGAAGGAAGGAAGGAAGGAAGGAACAGAGAGAGACAUAGAAGAAGGAAGAAAGGAAAGAAGGAAGGAGGGAAGAAUGUCCUCAAGGAGUUCACAUUCUAAUGGAUGAGAAAACAUAAAAAUCUUUAUACAUGUUAGAUAUGUAAUGGAAAAAUGGAAGAUUGUCUCAGAGAGAAGGCAUAGCAAUGAGGGAAGGGACAGGAAGGAAGGAGAAACUAGGGAAAGCCUCUUGCCAAAGGUGGGAUGGUUGCUUUUGUUUCCUUCAAAGAGUCCUCCUCACCUCUUCCCAAAAAACAGACAUGGAAAAUAUAUAGCAAAUAAAUAACAGAUGACUUGGCUACA